This 185-nucleotide ribosomal RNA is filed under the name uncultured bacterium. RNAcentral describes it as "partial 16S ribosomal RNA". It matches the Rfam family "Bacterial small subunit ribosomal RNA", at positions 1314 to 1500 of the family's 1533-position model. The record is from RNAcentral.
GCCUUCAUGAAGCCGGAAUUGCUAGUAAUGGCAGGUCAGCAUACUGCCGUGAAUACGUUCCCGGGCCUUGUACACACCGCCCGUCACACCAUGAGAGUUGGGAAUACCCGAAGCCUGUGAGCCAACAAACGAGGCAGCAGUCGAAGGUAGAAUCAAUGAUUGGGGUGAAGUCGUAACAAGGUACC